This 30309-nucleotide long non-coding RNA is filed under the name Citrus maxima (pomelo). Its description in RNAcentral is "long non-coding RNA (CMAX_LNC003130)". Lineage: Eukaryota; Viridiplantae; Streptophyta; Magnoliopsida; Sapindales; Rutaceae. The record is from RNAcentral.
UGCACUAUUUGAAUCGAGUGGAAGCUUUUUAAGCGAAUCGCAACCGCGAACUUCCAAUUCUUUCAGACGUGGGAGAGGCAAGGGUUUCCAGUAAAUGCUCUUCAAAUUGCGCAGUCGCUCUAACCGAAGACGCUGGAGUUUUGCUAAAGGGCUGCUUAUUAUUCCCGUCAUCUCAGGAAUGUCAUCAAACUCUCCAGCACUGAUUAUUUCUUCCAUGUGAUCGCAAUAGCGUACGGAAAUAGACUUGAGGUUUGGAGCAAAAACGAGGAAUGUCAAGUGUUUCAAAUUUCUGCAACUGUCUACGGUAACUUCCUCAAGGCUGCGGAAAACAUAAGGUUGGCGCGAUUUUUGUACCAUAUAUUUGUAGUCAAUCUUCAGUCCCUUAAUCCAAUCACAAGAACGAAAGUAUAAUGUAUUGAGCUGCUCUAGAUCUGCUAAAUGUGCAACAUCAAUCGACUCCUCCCUACCGAACUCAUCGAGCAAGAGAGCUUGGGUACAACGUCGUAACUUCUGUGAGCUCAAAAAUGUUUGGUAAGCCUUAAAACUCCUGAAGGUGAUCUCCAGUACCUCUAAAUAUUUCAAACCGAGCAAUUCCUCUGCUACAUUCUCAUACCUAGAGCUAAACGGUCUGUCAAAUGAUAAAAGACCAACACCAAUACCAAGCAUUCUCAACACACGUAACCUUGAAAAAUUAGAUAACAGUUGCUGUGGAACUUCAACUAACUUGGCUGCCCAGUCCAAAUUCAAACAUUUAAGAUUUACCAACGCUUUUAACUCUUCGGGUAACUCUGUAACGCUUGUAUUUGAAAUAUCAAGGAGUUGUAGUGAAACCAACUUUGAGAUCCCCAUUGGUAACUGCCGUAGCAUUAUAUUAUCUGACACCUUCAAAACUGUUAGACAAGGCAUAGAAUGGAAGAAGCCACCGGCGAUCGUCGUCAACUUAUUAUCGUUAAGAAACAAAGUAAGAAGACGAGGGCAUGUAGGAACAGUUGGUAGAUUUUUAAUUGAAUUUUUCAUCAAUGAUAAUCUUCUCACCAUUUCCCAUCCUCUGACAUCUGCAGGUGCCUCCGUUAAUCCGGAACCUGCAUAAACCAAAAAGCCCUCCUUCUCCUUCUCAAUCUCACAAGUUAUCCACAAUGCCAUAUCGCGGAUGACGUCAUGCAUUUUUACUUGAUCAUCUUCUACCUCUUCCAAUAAACAUGCAUGAACUAGAGUGGCCACGAUGUAGUAUCCUUGGUUUUGUGUGCCAAACUUGGCUUCAUCCAAAAACCCCUCGCAAAUCCAGCAAUCAAUCAAGUCUCUUUUAUAUAUACUGUAAUCUUCUGGAAAUAAACAACAAUAUAAGAAACAAGAUCUGAUUGCAUCGUUUGGCAAGCAAUCAUAGCUGAAUUUUAAAAGAGGAUAUACCUCCUUUUCCAAACCUGCAAAUUUGGAAGCUGAUCUUCUUAAAACUUCAAUCGCAUAUCUCCAUUCUUCAGGAGCCUUUUUGUAGGCCAUGGCUCGACCAAUAGUAAUAAGCGCGAGCGGCAAUCCAUCGCACUCCUUUGCCACAGUUUGAGCUAGUUCAGGAAUACUAUGAUGACUCUCAAUAGUUUCUUCCCCAACUUUCUCUCGAAAUAGCUCCCAAGCAUCCUCAUCGGAUAAGCAUGCCACUUUGAACUUCCUUCGAGCUUCCAUGCGGCCACAAACAUCAACGAAACGGGUUGUAAAUACCACUGCACUAUUUUUUGGGCUGUUACUACUACUAGGAAGAGGGACACCAAUCUUCUUUAGAUCAACCCGCUCCCAUAGAUCAUCCAACAACAAAGCAAACUUCUUCUUGCUUAAAGUCUUGAAGAUGUCCUGAGCUUUCUCUUCGAGACUUUUGUCCUUCCAUGAAUCAGUAUAUAGACCUAUCUUUUUCCCGAUAGUUUCCUGAAUUUUUUCAAGCUGCAGGUCGUUGGACACCACAACCCAAAUCACAUAAUCAAAAUCUGUUGGAUUAUCAACAAAUUUAUUAUUGAUUUGGGUUAACAGUGUAGUUUUACCGACGCCGCCCAUGCCGUAUAGGCCAAUUAUACCAGCUGCAGGUUCUUGUACAAGCCAUCUCCAAACUUGUUCAAGUUGUGAUUGCAAGCCUACCACCGUUGGCUCCGUAGGUCUUUCAUCUGCCCCAGAUAGUAAUUCUGGAGCUGCCACCUCUUCAAAAACUCCUUCCCCCCUUAAGGCCUUCACAUCUCGCAGCCUUUUAACAACUUUUCUACCAAACUUGUAGCUUGACUUGCAGUUCCUGGAGCAGUAGCCUCCAAGACACAAUUUGUCAAUUUCCUGAGAGCCACCAUCUCUUCCCAUGAGUUCAUCAACUUCAGUUUUAAGAGUCUCCACCCUCGAAAGCCAAUCCUGCACUUGGUUCAGCCUCUUCAUUUUGUGUUGGUUUUCAGCAUUGAGGACCCUCGUCAUCACAUCAUUCUUUGCAGCGAUUAGUUGUUCCAAUUCAGUCGUCAAGGCAACAACAUUAUCUUUGAGGUCAGUUAUAUAUGCAGCUUUGCCAAGAGCGCAGUCUGGGCAACGAUUGAACAUUGCGCCAACAUCGCAAGAGAUUUGCAAAAUGUUACCCAUAAUAAAUUUAGCUUAUUCUUGCAUUAUUCUCACUUGUAUUUAUGAAUUCAACCAAGAGAGAAACAAAGGAAUUUAGCUUCACCAGUUUGAUGAACAGAAGCUGCGGUCGCUGAUUAAUUGAGAUAGAACAUUAGUUAUUGAAUAAUGUAAUCAGCUCUUUUUGUACCCAACUUACUAAAAAAAGUAACAAAAAAGAAAAUUUGAAAGGUGGAAUGCAGCUGGCAAAGGAAAAAUCAAAGGCCAUGCUUCCCACAUCAAGAUGGUGGUGGUGGUACCAUCUUUGUGUUUCCUUGACCUUAUCCAAUAUUCAUCAUUUUUGGUCCCACAUCAUGCACGUGCUUGACAGUUAUUUCGAUUUUAUCUCUUUUUAUUCCCCCUUUCAGAUCAGCAUUUUUGUCUUGAUUCUUGAAUAGUUGAAUAUGUAUGUGUGUGGGGGCAUAUAAUAUAUAGUACUUAGAUUUUGUUUAAUUUUCUAUUGUUAACUUGAUUAUUUGUGGCAUUAAUUUAAUAUGAUUUACAUCUUUUUGGUUGUAGUGUUGAUGAGGUUCCUUUAUAUGAUGACCCAAUAUAUAUAUAUAUAUAUAUAUAUAUAUAUAUAUAUAUUUUGUUGUCUUCAUUUGUUUAAUUAUGAGAAAAAUAAAAUAGUAAUAAGAUUGGUCAAUUUGGGUAAACAAUUAAUGAACUAAUGUAGUAUAUCUCAUCUCACUCCCCUAGCAUAUCAUAAAUUUCCAAAAUUUGUCUUCAAUCGAUUAAACAUAAAUGCUGAUCUGUUCAGGAUGAUAUUCUGAGUCCCAUUUUCAUUUUCAUUUACUGAAAAUAAGUUGAACAACUGUUCGUUAUAAUGUUUUAAUAAAAUGAAUUAUGAAAUAAAAAAUUGAGAUUUUACUUUUGUUUACUCAAAAAGUUGAGAUUUUUAUGGUUUUAUUGAAUUUCAAGAAUGGAAGCCAUUCUCUCAUCUUUAUCUUAGUUUAGCGUCCAUGGUAAUUAAAAUGGUUUUUGUAUCAAAUUGAUAAGAUUGAAACAUCUAAUGCUGCAAUGGCUUUUGUGAUUAUUUUAAAUUUGAAGUUUAAAUUUGAUAAAACUAAUAAUUUUAUUGAGCAGAAGAUGAGUGGAAGGACUUUUUCUUUUACUUUUAGCCGAACAAAAAGAUAAAAUAAAAUGUUCAAGGACUUAUAAAAACAAAUGUCGUCAUAUUUUGCUUGUACCAAUGAAACAGUAGUUGUGAACAAGGAUUAAAAUAAUAUUUUCAAAUGAGAUUUUUCUCUAUACUUUAUCAUACCUUUUAUUUGAAUAUCUUUUUUUCGUAUAUAAGUUUAUGAUUUCAUUUAUCAGAUGCUCUAUAAUAUAUUUCAUUUACUGAAAUUUUUUAUUAUUAAAUGUAAUGAACAAUUAAAUUUUUUAUAAGUGUUUACUGUGUGAUACCAAAAAAUAAAUAAACUCUAUAUAAUCCAUUGACAUAAAUAUAAACUAUAUGUUUAAGUAAAAAAAAAAAAGUUUCAAUCCAAUGCUACCGAACAAGUAUUACAGUUUUUAUAUUUAAAAUAUAAGUUUCAAAAACUCAUACCGAACACAUACUUAUAUUUAGAAUACUGGUUUCAAAAACAUCAUUUUUAUUUUUGUUUUUGUUCUAUAAAAACAUCAAUUUACAAUAAUAAAGACAAAGAAUUGAAAAUUUUAAUAAGAAUUAAUCUAACUACUCUCUUUAAAAGGAAAAAAAAAAGAAAAGAAAAUUAAAUUAAUAUAAUAUUAAAUUUAUAACCUCAACUCAAUGGUCAUAUCAAGAACAUAUUUAAUUAUUUUAUUUUUAAUCUACAAUUGAGAUGUCAAGCCCUGGAGUUAAAGCGGUUGUUAUCAUUUUGUUUUCUGAUUUAAUUUCCAUUUUAAAAAUAAUUUUAUAUCCCGUGAGCAAUGCAACGAAUGAUUUGCGAGUUUGGAGGAGUCCAUGCAUAUGGGGCCCACUGGUUGUUUGAUGAUUGAUUAUGUCACAUGAUUCCUGCCACAUACGAUUAUUAUCCACCCUUUAUCUCCUUUUUUUUUUUCUUUAAUACAUAAUCCCCAUUACUCAUUUCGCUUUCAAUUUCAUAUCGAUGCCGCCACUUCACUUUAUCUCUUUUUGUUUUGUUUUUCUUUUAAAUAAUCAGCAUUUUAAUUUUAUAAUUUCUAAUAUAUAACUAAUACUUGAGAGAGUAAUCAUAAUCAUAGUCAAUAUUUUUGGUGAGGAAGAUGUCAAGUAAUAUGACACUUCUCAUGUUCCGUUAACAUUUCAAUUAUAUUAUUAAUUAUCAUCUUAAUUUAGAUAGUAUUAUUUAUUUACGAGAACAUAUCAAUUAUGAAAUUUUUAAUUUUAAAAAUUAAAGAAAUGAUUGAACUGAUUUUUUUCUUAUUAAUUGAUAGCUUAGAUGCAUUUUAUUACAUGUUAAAUAAUUAUGAAUACAUAUCCUUUUUGGUAAUUUAAUUACAUAAAAGUACUUUUAAUUUUACACAAUCAAACCGUUUAAUGGUUCAAAAGUAUUUUUUUAAUUGACAACCAAACACCCAAUUACUUUUUAUCCAAAAGCUCUAUUGGUAUAAGAUCUACUUCUAUAAGAGCUACUGCUAUAAGCUCUAUUUAAUAAGUUGUACAAAACGGAGCCUUACACGAUUGAUUUAUCUAUUUUUUAUUUUACAUUUUUUUUACUCUUCCUCAUGUUAUUGUCCCUUUCUUUUUCUUUUCUUUUUCCUUAGCAGCAAUGUUCCCAAAUUUAAUCGAGAAACAAAGCUAUAAAUGAUAGAACUUAUUAGUUUGAUAAUUAACAAACUCGCAACAGAUAGUACUCAAUUUCAUCCCUAAAUGAAUGCAACACGACUGUGGGCAUAAUACGUCGAGACUUGGGAAAACGUGGCCCUAAGGCAUUUUCAGAAAGAUUAGGGGAUUAACUUAAAUUUAAUUCUUUUAAAAUGUGAAGUUUACGUUUUGCACCCUUUGAAUUUACAGUUUCUUAUUUAUGGCAUCUCAAUUUGGCUUCUCUCGAAUAUGGUCCACGUUAAACCAAAAUUAUAAUUGCACCACUAAAUAUGAAAGUACUGAAAACCUAUUUGAAGUGGAAAGUUAGCGAGUUUCUAUAUUUUUUAAGGAUAUAUUUUAAGUAUGAUAAUCGGCCACCACAUAUUACAUUCAUGUAUGAUAAUCGGCCACCACAUAACUUACCCAAUAUUCAUCAUUUUUGGUCCCACACCAUGUGCUCGACAGUUGUUUCGAUUUUAUCUCUUUUUAUUCCCCCCUUUCUUUCUUUCGUUCUUUAUUUCAGAUCAGCAUUUUUGUCUUGAUUCUUGAAUAGUUGAAUAUGUAUGUGUGUGGGGGCAUAUAAUAUAGGAAAAUGCUACUUUCCCCGGGUCAAAUCCCGGGUCAAACCCCGAAUUAAAUAAAAACGACGCCGUUUUAGUUUCUUUUUUUUGCUUCCAUGAAACGCAGUCGUUCAGCCUAGUGAAAACAGAAAAAACGCAGCUGCUUUUCUUUCUCUUCCUCUUCCUCUUCGAUUCACCACACCCGAGCAAAAGCUUGAACAACAGCAGUGAUGUGUGUGUGUGUGUGUCAUUUUUCUCAUGCUUAUAGAAGGCAAUAAAGCUGCUGAUUCUGGACUAUUUUGGUGUCCACAAAAUCCGCUUUUGUGCUUCUAAUUAACUUGCUUUCUAUUAUUUAUAAUUCUUUCACUUUCUUUAAAGGUAAAUCUCACCUAGGUUUAUGCUUUUUCUUCUAAAUCUAAAGCCCUAUAAGUCCGUUUGCAGUUUGUAUUGGAGCUGUAAAAUGCAGAGCAAUUGCAGCACAAAUUGCAGACAAACAGAGCACAAAUUGCAGACCAAUUUAGCACGCAUUGCAGCACAAUUUGCAGAAGUCACUUGCACAGCAACUCAUCAAAAAAUGCAGAGCAAUUGAAAACAAAAUGCAGACAAAUCUGUACACAGUUUCUUCCGGACCAAAAUCUCAUUUUCAUCAUCAUUCAUCCUCAACACUGGGCACCCAAAUCAAGUGCGGAAAGGAAAAAUGAAUAUCAAUUGCAAUUUAACACACUUAUUUUCUUAACAUUUUACUUCAACCGAAAAUUAAAUAAAAUGGAAAUGACAAUAGCUAUCAAAAUUCAGCACUUGCAAAGCAAUUAAAUUCAGCACUUGCAGAGCAAUAAUAUUCAGCACUUGCACUAGAUCAGCCAAAUUGCAGCACUAAAGAUCGAAGACGUUUGGGUUUGCUUUUUCCUGGGUCAAACGGCAACGUUUGCUUUCGAUUGAUUGAAACGGCUGGUGAAACGAUGAGGAGAAUCGAAGAGGACAAGAAGAUGCAAACGAAGACAUUCGGUUUUGUUUGGCUGAAACGACUACGUUCCAUGGAAGCAAAAAGGACAAAAAAAAGAAGCCAAAACGGCGUCGUUUUGUUUAAUUCGGGGCGCGUUUCGGGGUUAAAAUUCGGGGUGAAUAGCAGCGCUCCAAAGGAAAUGCUUGUAAUGAUUUGAUUCCAGUUUGGCUGGUUAGGUUGUUUAUUUAUUUAUCAGUCAUUGUAGGAAUUUAUGAAUCAGGGGAACUCGUCUGUUGGAUUUUUUUAAGAACUGUGAAGUAUUAGCUGAUUUUUUACCAUAUUUUGGAAUUUUAUUUUGUCUUUGAGAUGAGGAAUAAAUUGAUACCGUUUCUAUUGACCUUUCAUAUGAAAACUACUUGAGCGCAUGAUAUAUAUCUGUUUUUGUUCAUUUCUGUAUUUUGUUGCUGUUGACUGAAGCUGGAUUUUCAUGCUCGUUUUUAUCAUUUAUUCUUUUGAAAUCGCGAAAUGAAUUCUCAAUAUUUUCAGGGGAAAUGCUUAUAAUUAGAGCGAAUUUAAACAUUGAUUGUGUACUGUAUACCUGCAAGGGGCAGUUUAUUUCCUUUGAUUUGAGUAAAAUAAAAUCUCCGUGAUGGUAGCACUUAUUUAAUCAAGCAGGACCUAAAAGAUGGAAAGGAGCGAUACAUAGACAAAAAAAAACACCCCUUAUGAAUUCCAUGGCACUUCUUCCAUUUUGUCACUCGGGGACUACUCAAGAAUUUCACAUUUCAGUUUCGUAAUUUAUAAUUAAAUAUAAAAGAAUUUUUUGAAAAUUUGAUGACAGUUGUUGAAAACAUUUACUAAUUAUAAAUGCGUUAAAAAUUAUUUGAUUCAUUUAGUAUCAUUAUUAGUGAUUUAAUUUUUCAUCUUGAUUUAAAAAAAAUUAAUUUUUUUUUAAUUUUAAAAAGCAAAAUAGAUAACUCUUGACUAAGCGACAGCCGAUGAAUUUUGUAUUAAUCUGGAAAAGUAUUACUACAUCUACGUGUCAUUUAAAGGUUCUUGUAAUUUGAGACGACUUGUCGUCUAUGAUUUAGACCGGACCGGUUCGCGCAAACUUCAAAGCUUUCGAGUAUUCACGGAGCGGCAAUCGCAAAAUCCCUCAAAAGAACACACACAAGGAAUGGAGACUGGGAAAGUAAAGGAGAAGGAGAAGGAGAAGGAGAAGGAGAAAGUGUGCAAGAGGUGUAAGCAAACGUACACAGCUUCAUCAAACAGCUCUUCUUCUUGCCGCUUUCACCCUUCCUUCUUCGUUUGCCGUCGUCACGACGACCAGAAAAGGUACCCUCCCCGCUCCCUCUUUUGAUAAUCAUUUCGCAUACCCUUUUCUUCGAUUUAUUUUAUUUUUUUCUCAUGUACCCUUGCGAUUCUUUUGCAUUUUUUUAUUGGAUGUUAUUAAUUAUUAUAAAAAAAAUUCUAAAAAAUAAAUAAAAUUCACGGCAGCUGGGAGUUGAACGAAACUCUGAGUCCAGUCCUGUUUGGUAGGAUUCUUUGAUUUACAAAGCAUCGAGUAAUCAGAUUCGCUGGGUAUUCAUUUUGUUUUGUUAUUUUUCCAUGUGUCAAUUUUCAUUUAAUUUGGGUUUGUUUAUUUUUGGAUGACUUAGAAAUCCUAAUGUACAACGGCAAUAAUUAGAUGCCGUUAAAUAAUUAUUCCAUUUGCCAGCUGGUUAAUUGUUUCAGGAGUUCAUGCUGAGACUUGUUUUACCACGCCAUCCGUACAAAAAUCUAAUGAAGUCCGGCCAUGUAUAUAUUUAUUUUUUAAAACUGCCGUACAAGUUGAUAAUUACAUUUAAUACAUGCAUCCAUAAUGUCUUCAUAUGGUUGUACAACAACUGGAGUACUAUUGCUGUUAUACAGAGGUGCUAAACUGCUAAUCUCAAAACGUCAUUUGCCACAAGCACCGCAACUACUGAUGGCAUAUCAUGUAUUACUUACAAAUCAACUGAUUUUGUAUUAAUCUUCUGUUUUUCUUAUAGUAUGAGUAUACCGUAGGUGGUACUAUUGUUUGCAUAUUGAAGAAAGCUCAUUUAUGGUAGGAUUUGUAAUUGUUUUGUGUGGCAAAAGCACCUCUUUGUUUGCCUUCAAAUAUCUGGGUUGACAGGGACAGAAUUUUAAGAAGUGGAACUGUUGAUAACAAAGCUAAAAGCUGAAAGUUUCUCAUUCUUGUUUCCUGGAUUUUUCAGUUCAUACCAAAUCUACUUUUUGAGGUUCAUUAUUCAUUUCCUUUAAUUCUUCGUCAUUGGGUUUCUACUGCAUUGUAAUGCUCCACACAAGGUUAGACUCCUUGCAAGGCACUUCUAUUCUAUGCUAGCUUUUCAUAUCACGCUUUUCAUAACAUGAGUUGGACUGAGCUCAGUCAGUUGAUGCUCCAUGUUUUUGAUUCAUUGAAGGUACUAUGAAUUGGGACCUGAUGAUCCACCGUAUGCUGCCAAGUUUUACGACUGCUGCGGGGCCGAGGAUGCUGAUGCCUCUGGUUGUACCACUGGCUUCCAUGUCUCUUAUGAUGAUGAUUAACAUAAUUUUUACCUCCUAAUCACCUGUAACUAUAGAUUAAAUUUGUAGAUAUCUCCGUGUCUCCUCCUGUGACCCACAUCAUUUCCACUGUUCUACCACUGUAUAAUUCAGGUCUUUCAUCAGUUUAUCUCUUCAUUUCUCAACAUUUUUCUUUUUUUUUUCCUGGGGUUGAUCUGGCAUGAAUUCGACAUGUGCUGCUAUGGCCAACUUUCGAGGGAUGAUGGUAAAUCUUAACCCUUUUGCAUAAACUUCUGGAAUUAGUUGGUCUAGGGAGUUUGAAGAGCAUAUACUGGAAGCCAUUGCCUUCCCACAUCUUAAGUAAAGAGUAAUGCUACUUUGGCAGAAAUAGGUUUACAAAAUUUUGACAUACUUAUGAAAUACUAAAUUACCUUUUAGUUUAUUUACAGAUAGCGAAUUGGGCUUUUUACAUAUUUUUGUAAAACUACUAGACAACUGAGCUAUAAUUAUCAAUUUUAUUUUGUAUUAGUAAAUAAUCAAAGAAUCAACCUAAACUUAUAUUCAGGAAAGAAAUAACUACAGAGGACAAAAAAUUAAUGAGGCGAUUGAAAAUUACGCCAAAAUUAAUAGUAAGGCAUUUGAGAUUGCAGUAGAACUUCUCAAUAAUCAUAUUAUUAGGAUCAAUUCAUUUUGUUACUAUAAGGAGGUUAAAACUUUGUAGAAGUUUAGUUCAAAAUUACUAUCUUGACUUCAUUAUUCUUAGUGUAAGUGAUUAGUAUUAAAAAUUGUUUAAUUAUCAAGCGAUAAUAUGUUAUUUUAUGCUUAUGUUAUAAUUUAUAUUUGUGUUUAUGUAAUAUAUUAUGAAUUAUUAAUUAUGUUUUAAAUAUAUUUAAUUUUGUGUAUUUUUAUGUGUUUAUUAGGAAAAUUAUUAAUUUCACGUACUUCGAGGCUCCAAACAGAUAAACGGAGGUCAAAUUUGGAUUCCGGAGGUCCGAAAACCUUAAGAUCAGUCAAGAUCGGCUUAAAAUUGGGCUUGUGUAAAAAAAGUUGACUUUUCCUGUUGACCGAGCACUGAUUGGAUGAUGAAAUGAGCUUACAAUAGAUAUGAGUGCAUGGGAUAACUGGCAAUCUUGACCAAAUCUCAACCGUUCAUGAUUCAAUGGCCAUGAUUGUGCCACGUGGCAAUGGUUGGUGAAGCAAGUUGGAGGAUCCGAAUCUUUGUAUUCGGGUCGACCCGAUCCACCCAUUAACCCGCCAAAUCUCAACCGUUCUUUGGGUAAAUCGGACGAGUCAAAUGAUGCCAUGUGUGAUGUUGACUUUUGAAGUUUGACCAGCCAUUGGAUCUUGAUCUAAGGGUUGUGAGGAGCACAUGCAUGAAGCCUAUGAUGGACCGCAAAGCACGGGAUUAUGAAUUUAUUUUUUCUAUAAAUAGGGCCUCAUUUUUAUGUUUUAAUCAUCUCUCUACAACUCUCUUCUUCUCAAAUUCUCUCCAUCUCCUUGUAAUCUUGAUUUCCAGGUGUGUUUUUAAUAUUUUGUAUAAUUAUUUUCAUUAAUAAAAUUAGUUUUAUUUUCAAUUUUAGUUGUUUUUAUUUCUUUUAAUUAUAAGUAAUUCAAUUUUACUACUUCUUUUUAUUUUAAUUAUGCUUAACUAAAUAAUAUUAGUUAGGGGAAGGUGAAACUCUUAAGAAAUAAAUAUGAUUUAAUCAAAUUCUAUGUUUAAUUUUAUAAAUUAAAUUAUUUUCUAUUUAAUUUUAUACAUGUUUUAUAUUUUGAAAAUUUGAUUUAUUGUAGACAAAUAAAUGAAUUUGGCACAAUAAAUUCUUAAGAUCUUAAUAUAAGGCAUGGUGAAAUGGUAUUUUGACUUAUUGUAGACAAAUUAAAUUUUGGCACAAUAAAUACUUAAUCCAUCAUAAAAUUAAAGGGAAAAUAAUAAUAAUUUGUAUAAUUAAUCUUUUGAGUAAUAAAUCUAAAACAAAUUGGCAAAAAGAAUUUAUUAAGUUUUAUUUGUUUCUAAGAGUGGAUCCAUAACCCUAACUAGUUCAAUUCCAUAGUUUCAUUUAAAUUAAGUUGUUUAUAUUCAAGUUUUAAUUUCAAUUUUUAGAUCAAAUAAAAUAAAUUAAUUAAAUCUUUUCUCUGUGGAUCGACCUCGGACUCACCGAGUUAUAAUACAACAAGACACUCUUAUACUUGGGAGUUAAAAUUUACUUUUAAGUUGUGUCAGUAAGUAAGAUAAUUAAUAAUUAAUUCAUGGAACAUGUCAAUUCUAUGAAGCUUCAAACAUGCUUGAAUACUUAAAAAUAUUUUGUCUUCAACAAGAAGGUGUUUAUAUUAUCGAAUUAUUUUUGCAAUAUACAAAUAAUUAUUAUUAUGUGGAGGCAAUUUCAAAGAUGUGAUAACAAUUUUAAAGAAUAAAUCAUUAUCUCAAACAACUUUAAAAAAUAUAUUUUUUUAUACUAAAUCUUUUAAAGUAACAAAUAUGUUUUGCAAUACACAUAUAAUUAUUAUUAUGUGGAGGCAAGUUACUAAAGUCGGGAUCUAAAACACUUAUUACAAUUAGAGUUAAUUCUUAUUUAUAAUUUACCUAAAUUAAAGUUAAAAUUUUUUUAUGACUAUAAGAGAGUUAUUUCUAUAUAGAUUAUCACUAUAAAUAUAGAGUAUCACUAUAAAAAGGUUUUACGAUCAAUCAUCCAUCAUAAUAAGCACAAGAAUGACAAGUUUUGAUUCUCAAAUAAAUUCUUAUAAAACACAACCAUGGAUUAAGAUUGUCAGGAAAUGGGAAUGCAAUACAAAGUAAUUAAUGACACAGUCACAGUGUUUCACUUACACGUGAAGCAAACGAAACAAGAAGAAUCUUAAGAAAAAAACACUCACCAGAACGCAAGGUUCAAUCCGGGCUUAGCCCCUCUAACCACAGUUCGUCAAGAGAUUGGAAACAGAGACGAAAAGCAUUUUGAGUGGCUUCAUCCUCCCAUUGAAGCCUUCUCCACCAGUCUUCACCUCCACGAAUAAGAAUUCGGCGCCCCUUUGCACUAUUUGAAUCGAGUGGAAGCUUUUCAAGCGAAUCGCAAUACUCCACUUUCAAUUCUUUCAGACGUGGGAGAGGCAAGGGCUUCCAGUAAAUGCUCUUCAAAUUGCGCAGUCCCCAUAAGUGAAGACGCUGGAGUUUUGCGAAAGGGCAGCUUAUUAUUCCCGUCAUCUCAAGAAUGUCAUCAAACUCUCCAGUACUGAUUAUUUCUUCCAUGUCAUAGCAAUGGUCUACGUAAAUAGACUUGAGGUUUGGAGCAAAAACGAGGAAUGUCAAUUGUUUCAAAUUUCUGCAAUAGCUUACGGUAACUUUCUCAAGGCUGCGGAAAACAUAAGGUUGGCGCGAUUUUUGUACCAUAUCUUUGUAGUCAAUCUUCAGUCCCCCAGGCCAACCACAACGAGAAAAGUAUAAUGUAUUGAGCUGCUCUAGAUCUGCUAAAUCUCCAACAUCAAUCGACUCCUCCCUACCGAACUCAUGGAGAAAAAGAGCUUGAGUACAACUUCGUAACUUCUGUGAGCUCAAAAAUGUUUGGUAAGCCUCAAAACUCCUGAAGGUGAUCUCCAGUACCUCUAAAUAUUUCAAACCGAGCAAUUCCUCUGCUACAUUCUCAUGCCAAGAGCUAAACAGUCCGUAAGGUGAUCUAAUACCAAUACCAAACAUUCUCAACACACGUAACCUUGAAAAAUUAGAUAACAGUUGCUGUGGAACUUCAACUAACUCGUCUGCCCAGUCCAAAUUCAAACAUUUAAGAUUUACCAACGCUUUUAACUCUUCGGGUAACUCUCUAACGCUUGUAUUUGAAAUAUCAAGGUGUUGUAGUGAAACCAACUUUGAGAUCCCCAUUGGUAAUUGCUGUAGCAUUCUAUUAUCUGACAUCUUCAAAACUGUUAGACAAGGCAUAGACUGGAAGAAGUCAUCGGUGAUCGUCGUCCACUCAUUAUCGUUAAGAAACAAAGUAAGAAGAUGAGGGCAUGUAGGAACAGUUGGUAGAUUUUCAAUUGAAUUUGUCAUCAAUGAUAAUCUUCUCACCAUUUCCCAUCCUCUGACAUCUGCAGGUGCCUCCGUUAAUCCGGAACCUGCAUAAACCAAAAAGCCCUCCUUCUCCUUCUCAAUCUCACAAGUUAUCCACAAUGCCAUAUCGCGGAUGACGUCAUGCAUUUUUACUUGAUCAUCUUCUACCUCUUCUAAUAAACAUGCACGAACAAGAGUGGCCACGAUGUAGUAUCCUUGGUUUUGUGUGCCAAGCUUGUCUUCAUCCAAAAACCCCUCGCAAAUCCAGCAAUCAAUCAAGUCUCUUUUAUAUAUACUGUAAUCUUCUGGAUAUAAACAACAAUAUAAGAAACAAGAUCUGAUUGCAUCGUUUGGCAAGCAAUCAUAGCUGAAUUUUAAAAGAGGAUAUACCUCCUUUCCCAAACCUGCAAAUUCGGAAGCUGAUCUUCUUAAAACUUCAAUCGCAUACCUCCAUUCUUCAGGAGUCUUUUUGUAGGCCAUGGCUCGACCAAUAGUAAUAAGCGCGAGCGGCAAUCCAUCGCACUCCUUUGCCACAGUUUGAGCUAGUUCAGGAAUACUAUGAUGACUCUCAAUAGUUUCUUCCCCAACUUUCUCUCGAAAUAGCUCCCAAGCAUCCUCAUCGGAUAAGCAUGCCACUUUGAACAUCCUACGAGCUUCCAUGCGGCCACAAACAUCAACGAAACGGGUUGUAAAUACCACUGCACUAUUUUUUGGGCUGUUACUACGACUAGGAAGAGGGACGCCUACCUUCUUUAAAUCAACCCGCUCCCAUAGAUCAUCCAACAACAAAGCAAACUUCUUCUUGCUUAAAGUCUUGAAGAUGUCCUGAGCUUUCUCUUCGAGUCUUUUGUCCUUCCAUGAAUCAGUAUAUAGACCUAUCUUUUUCCCGAUAGUUUCUUGAAUUUUUUCAAGCUGCAGGUCUUUGGACACCACAACCCAAAUCACAUAAUCAAAAUCUGUUGGAUAAUCAACAAAUUUAUUAUUGAUUUCGUUUAACAGUGUAGUUUUACCGACACCGCCCAUGCCGUAUAGGCCAAUUAUACCAGCUACAUGUUCUUGUACAAGACAUCUCCAAACUUGUUCAAGUUGUGAUUGCAAGCCUACCACCGUUGGCUCAGUAGGUCUUUCAUCUGCCACAGAUAUUAAUUCUGGAUCUGGCGCGGCCACCUCUUCAAAAACUCCUUCCCCCUUUAAGGCCUUCACAUCUCGCAGCAUUUUAGCAACUUUUCUACCAAACUUGUAGCUUGACUUGCAGUUCCUGGAGCAGUAGCCUCCAAGACACAAUUUGUCAAUUUCCUGAGAGCCACCAUCUCUUCCCAUGAGUUCAUCAACUUCAGUUUUAAGAGUCUCCACCCUCGACAGCCAAAGCUGCACUUGGUUCAGCCUCUUCAUUUUGUGUUGGUGUUCAGCAUCGAGGACCCUCGUCAUCACAUCGUUCUCUGCAGCGAUUAGUUGUUCCAAUUCAGUCGUCAAGGCAACAACAUUAUCUUUGAGGUCAGUUAUAUAUGCCGCUUUGCCAAGAGCGCAGUCUAGGCAAAGAUUGAACAUUGCGCCGUCGCAAGAGAAUGAGAUUUGCAAAAUGUUACCCAUAAUGUAUCUCACUUGUAUGUAUGAAUUCAACCAAGAGAGAAACAAAGAAAUGUAACUUAACCAGUUUGAUGAACAGAAGCUGCUGUUGCGGAAUGAGAUAGAACAUUGGUUAUUGAAUAAUGUAAUCACCUCUGUUUGUACCCUACUUACUGUUUGCAUGAGUUAAUGAGCCUGCAAUUGGCCAGGUCCAUAACUGUUUGCAUGCUUCCCACAUCAAGAUGGUGGUAGUGGUACAUCUUUGUGUUUCCUUGACCUUAUCCAAUAUUCAUCAUUUUUGGUCCCACACCAUGUGCUUGACAGUUGUUUCGAUUUUACCUCUUUUUUUUUUUUCUUUUUUUUUCCUUUCUAUCUUUCAGAUCAGCAUUUUUGUCUUGAUUCUUGAAUAGUUGAAUAUGUAUGUGUGGGUGGGUAUAUAUAGUACUUAGAUUUUGUUUAAUUUUCUAUUGCUAACUUGAUUAUUUGUGGCAUUAAUUUAAUAUGAUUUACAUCUUUUUGGUUGUAGUGUUGAUGAGUUGCCUUUAUAUGAUGACCCAAUUUUUUUUUUGGUCUUCAUUUGUUUAAUUAUGAGAAAAAUAAAAUAGUAAUAAGAUUGGUCAUUUUGGCUAAACAAUUAAUGAACUAAUGGAGUAUAUCUCAAUUUGGGUAAACAAUUAAUGAAAUUUGAGGGGUGUGAAAAGCUUAACUCAAUAAGAAAAGCGAUACCUCUUCUAAAAAAAAAAUAAGAAAAGUGAUACGAAAAAUCACUACUCGUUGGAUUAUUUAUAUGGAUGGCCCAUCCCACUGAAGAGUAAAGCGGCUUACGGCCCAAUUUAAUGAGCCCAUUGCCGACUCGUUGCUCUCCCUACGCGCUUUAAAUCUCGUACAAAUCACAGCCAACCAUAUAUUAUAAACGAGGCUCGCGGUUAUUCCAUCGAACAUGGGUCCCAGCAUGCCCCGUCCAUAUCAUAAAUUUCCAAAAUUUGUCUUCAAUCGGUUAAACAUAAGUUUCAAAAUUCUUUCCAAAAAAAAAAAGAAAUUGCCAAUACCAAUCCUUUAAAGUUUAAAACAUCCAAAAGGGGGAAAAAGCUUUUUUUGAGUCGUCCAUAUCAUAAAUUUCGACUAAAGUUGGGACAUGGCAUGUGGUAGACAUGUGGAUUGAUUGCAUAUGUUAUUUGAGUCGUUGUAUCAUCGGCUUCACAUUAUUAAUAAGCUUUUUUUUUCACCCAAAUUCUUCUAAGAAUUAUGAGCAUAUUUUUUAGCAUAAUUGUUGGCUGAUCAGAAACUCUCGAAAGUUCGCCUAUAAUUUAGAUUAAACCAGCAAUUAACAUGAGAAGUUAGGGUGGCAGGCAGGACAAUGGGAACCAACUCAAAUCUGGUUCCAUUAGCAAGCAGCAGCCAAAUUCCAAGAUUCUCAACAAUUUUAGGGACCUGCUCAGGAUGAUAUUCUGAGUCUCAUUUUCAUUUUCAUUUACUGAAAAUAAGUUGAAUAACUGUUCGGUACAAUGUUUUAAUAAAAUGAAUUAUGAAAUAAAAAAUACAGAUUUUACUUUUGUUUACUCAAAAAGUUGAAGAACGACCUUUUUAUGGUUUUGUUGAAUUUCAAGAAUGGAAGCCAUUCUCUCAUCUUUAUCUCAGAUUAGCGUCCAUGGUAAUUAAAAUGGUUUUUGUAUCAAAUUGACAAGGUUGAAACAUCUAAUGCUGCAAUGGGUUUUGUGAUUAUUUUAAAUUUGAAAGUUAAAAUUUGAUAAAACUAAUAAGUUUUAUUGAGCAGAAGAUGAGUGGAAGGACUUUUUCUUUGAUUUUUAGCCGAACAAAAAGAUAAAAUAAAAUGUUCAAGGACUUAUAAAAAAAAUGUCGUCAUAUUUUGCUUGUACCAAUGAAACAGUAGUUGUGAAAAAGGAUUAAGAUAAUAUUUUCAAAUGAGAUUUUUCUCUAUACUUUAUCAUACCUUUUAUUUGAAUAUCUUUUUUCGUAUAUAAGUUUAUGAUUUCAUUUAUCAGAUGCUCUAUAAUAUAUUUCAUUUACUGAAAUUUUUUAUUAUUAAAUGUAAUGAACAAUUGAAUUUUUUUAUAAGUGUUUACUGUGUGAUACCAAAAAAUAAAUUAACUUUAUAUAAUUCAUUGACAUAAAUAUAAACUGUAUGUUUAAGUUAACAAAAAAAAAAGUUUCAAUCCAAUGCUACCGAACAAGUAUUACAGUUUUUAUAUUUAAAAUAUAAGUUUCAAAAACUCAUACUGAACACAUAUUUAUAUUUAGAAUACUGGUUUCAAAAACAUCAUUUUUAUUUUUGUUUUUGUUCUAUAAAAACAUCAAUUGACAAUAAUAAAGACAAAGAAUUGAAAAUUUUAAUAAGAAUUAAUCUAACUACUCUCUUUAAAAGGAAAAAAAGAAAAAAGAAAAUAUCUAACUACACUCACUUUCUAAAAAUAUAAAUACAUAUAAUUACACUAAAACCCCUAUAGAUUUUUAUUUUACCAAACAAUUAUGUGAUUAAUAUUUAUUUAUAAAAUAUAACAAUUAUGUGAUUAAUAUAAUAUUAAUUUUAUAAUCUCAACUCAAUGGUCAUAUCAAGAGCAUAUUUCAUUAUUUUAUUUUUAAUCUACAAUUGAGAUGUCACACCAUGGAGUUAAAGCGGUUGUUAUCAUUUUGUUUUCUGAUUUAAUUUCUAUUUUAAAAAUAAUUUUAGACCCCGUGAGCAUUCAACGAAUGAUUUGCGAGUUUGGAGGAGUCCAUGCAUAUGGGGCCCACUGGUUGUUUGAUGAUUGAUUAUGUCACAUGAUUCCUGCCACAUACGAUUAUUAUCCACCCUUUAUCUCCUUUUUUUUUCUUUAAUAAAUAACCCUCUUUACUCAUUUCACUUCCAAUUUCAUGUUCAUGCCCUUACACUAUUGAUUUAUCUAUUUUUUAUUUCACACAUUUUUUGUUUACUCUUCCUCAUGUUAUUGUCCCUUUCUUUUUCUUUUCUUUUUCCUUAGCAGUAAUGUUCCCAAAUUUAAUCGAGAAACAAAGAUAUAAAUGAUAGAACUUAUUAGUUUGAUAAUUUAUAAACUCGCAAUAAAUGGUACUCAUUUUCAUUCCUAGAUAAAUGCAAUACGACCGUGUACAGAAUACGUCGAGGUUUGGGAAAAACGUGGUCCUCUAGCAUUUUUAUUAAGAUUAGGGAUUUAACUGAAAUUUAAUUCCUUUAAAAUGUGAAGGUUACGUUUUGCACCCUUUGAAUUUACAGUUUCUUAUGUUUGGCAUCUCAAUUUGGCUUCUCUCGAAUAUGGUCCACGUUAAACCAAAAUUAUAAUUGCACCACUAAAUAUGAUAUGACAGUACUGGAAAACUAUUUGAAGUGGAAAGUUAGUGAGUUUCUAUUUUUUUAAGGAUAUAUUUUAAGUAUUAUAGAGAUAAAAAUUAACUAUCUACCUAAGUAACCAAGCGAGCAAUUUAAACUUUAGACCUCUUUUACAUCAACGGGUUAUGUUUGGCAGACUCAAUUUGUCAAUAACUAGAUAUAUGUUAUGACAGACUCAAUUUGGGGCAGAUUCUAGGGUAAGGAAACUAAAAAUGCUUAUUUUCGAAGGUGAGGAUGCCUAUGGAUGGGUGUAUAGGGUAGAGCGCUAUUUCGCCAUCAAUGGACUCUAAGAAAGGGAAAAAUUGAUGGCGGCGGCGUUAUGUUCGGAGGGAAAGGCCCUUGCGCAGUUUCAAUGGCGAGAACAACGAAAACCGUUGAGGUCAUGGGAUGAGUCUAAAGAUCGGCUAUUGGAGAGGUUUCAGGGCACUCAAGACUCAAGAGGGAGAUUUGCAUGAACAAUUUUUUACUUUGACCCAGGAUAGAAUGGUUAUGGAGUAUAAGGAGAAGUUUGAGUUGCUAUCAGGGCGUUUAUGGGGAAUUCCAGAGGCGGUAUUGGAAGGAAAUUUUAUGAAGGGACUGAAGCCAGAAAUCCGAGCCUCGCUACGCUUGCUAAGGCCGAGAGGGUUAAGGGAGUCAAUAAAGUUGGCACAAAUGGUUGAGGAUAAGAACACAAUAGAACGGGUUAAUAGGAGCAAUUCGGUCAAUUUUUCAUACCAAAACAGCACGCCAUUGGUAGGACAGAAAACCCAGACUUUGGGGUUUCAGCGAGAGUUCCAAAGUACACCACUAGGAGGCCAGAAAAUGCAAAUGGUGGAUUUACAGAGAGAUUCCCAAAGGGAUUGGGAUAGUGAGGCACGACUGGGGGUGACUUUCGAACACCUCAUGGAGACAGAGAUUCAGGAUAAAAGGGCGAAGGGGUUGUGUUUUCGAUGUGAUGAGAAAUUUUCACUAGGGCAUCGAUGUAAGGAUAAAUCACUACAAGUCCUGACUGUGUGUGAUGAGGAAGAAGGCUGGAAAGAAGCCGAAGAAGAAGACGCAAUAGUUUCCUAGAUUUCACCUUGAGGACAAGGUGUCUUUUUGGGAGGGGAGUAAUGUUUGACCAAUGAAAAUUUAAGUGCAAUUAUAAAGAGGCAGGGGCACUUUAGUAAUCUUAGGGGCGGGGGCAGUUUAGUAAUUUUAUUAUUAAUUAGGGUUCAGGUAUAAAUAAGAGAUUUUGGAGUCACCUAGAAUUUAUGUUGAGUUUUAUCUAAUGUUAAGAAUAAUUAGGAGUUUUGGGAGAUAUUAACCUACCUCUCGAAUUGUAGGUCAAGAUUAUUAUUUAUUUUUAUCAAUUAAAAAAAAAUCAGCCCUAAUUUACCCCCAAGUCCUGCCAUAAUGGAAUUUGUGUUAUUGACCUCUUCUUUUUUCCCUUUUCCUUCUUCUUGUAACAACUUCUUUAUGAAACAUGUCUUUGCGUCUGGCUCUUGUCUUACUAUGAACCUGCAGUGGAGUACUUGGCAACUACUAGAACCCUGCCACGACUAAUAGAUGUUGUUAAGAGUUCCACAAAGGAGAAGGUGAGAUCUGGAUUCUUGGUAGUAUUUAAUUUUAGCAAAGGCUUACUGCUAGGUUGUCAGGGUGGUGGUCUUGAUCCUUAGGAACUUGCUUCUCAAAGGUAAUUUUGCUGCUCAAAUGAUAGACCUUGGGCUACCUCAAGUUGUUCAAAGUUUAAAAGCACAAGCAUGGAGUGACGAGGUAAAAGAAGUUGCUCGCUGUUUACUUUUUCUUUUUCGGUUGAUUGCAUAAUUAUUUAGUUAAUAGAUCGAGUAAAAUUAAGGGAGUUGAUGGCGCUGUUUGCUACUGAUUGGUGCAUUUGGUGAUCAUUUUAAAUGGAUUAAAAUUUUACUUCGGCUUCUGUUAAGCAUGGUGUUGUAGGAUAUUCAAUUGCUUGUGUGAUGACAAAAACUACUGUUAUUUUUGUUCAUUAUAUGAAUAUUAGUGUUGUUUUGGUGCAUACUUGAUUUUGAUACCAUUAUGCCCUAUUAUUCCUUUGUUCAGCACGGAAUAAUUUUGUUUCCAUCCACACUUUGAUUGAAGCUCUGGCUGGCGAAAGUGCUGACUACUAUUGCACGGACCUACACUAUCUUUGACAAGGUGAGAUUGUAGAAUUGUGGUUUUUUUAUUACCACAUAUUUUCUUUGGCCUUGAACCAUUCAAUUUUGGCAAGGCUUGACUCUUUUUCCUCAUGAUGAACUGAAGUUGUAUACUGCUUAUGUGGAAUCUUGGUAUCCAACACAAAAUUAAGAUUUCAGCCUUCAAACUUAUAAUGCAAGAUAUUAGAUUGAGUUUGGGCGGCUCCUGAAUAGUACCAAAAAGAAUGAGUCUUGACCACCAUUGCUGAAUUUUGUUUAACCUUUAACACAAUGAUGACUUCAUCUUGCUACAUUUACAUAUAAUAGAUUUCAAUAUCUUCUUAGGAUUUACUGGAGUGUCUGAAUCAACUGGAAGAAGGUUUGAAGGAUAAUAUUAAGAGAUUGAGUUCUUUCGACAAGUACAAGCAAGAAGUCUUCCUUGGCCAUCUCAACUGGUCCCCCAUGCACAAAGAUCCCCUAUUCUGGCGUGAUAAUAUCACAAACUUUGAAGAAAAUGAUUUCCAGGUAUUUCUUUUCCCCAUGGACGGUGUUUCUAGUUUUUAUUUUUCAUUUUUCUGCUUUAACUUCACUGAGUGACUUGGCAUCAUUUUGUAUAAAGAAAUACAAAUUUUCUGUAAUACUAACGGAUAAUCUUCUCUCUCAGAUUCUAAGGGUCCUCUUAACAAUUUUGGAUACAUCCAGUGAUCCACGAGCUCUUGCUGUCGCCUGCUUUGAUCUCUCACAGUUUAUCCAGUACCAUCCAGCUGGGCGGGUCAUUGUGACGGACCUCAAAGCCAAGGAACGGGUGAUGAAAUUGAUGAACCAUGUUAGCAUAUGUGAGUAACAGAGCAGGGGAUUCCAGCUCAAGAGCUGACGUGUCAAUAUUUGUUAUACAUGUUGCUUAACGUGUAACAAGCUGAUUUCAGUAGUUGAUAACAGAUUCUAGUAGCUUCAUUAAUUAGUUAGAAAGAUUCGUUUAAGCUCAUAUAUAAACCAACACUUGUAAUCUUUUUCAUCAACUUGAUUGAAUACAAAUUCAUUGAUAUCUGUAUAUUCUUUGUUAUUUUUCUUUCUCUUUCUAUCGUUUUCUUAUCUACCAAACACAUCAACAACAUUUCUAACAUGGUAUCAGAGCCAAUGGCUAACUCAAAUCAAAAUUCUCAUUCCUAUAACUUUGUCACUCCGAUCAAGUUGGAUCACAACAACUUCAUGGUGUGGAGGAAUCAAGUUCUGGCUUCAAUCAAAGGAAACGGUCUGGAAGGUUUCAUCAAUGGAACUAAUCCGUGUCCUGAUCAGUACCUCAAUCAAGUAAGUGAAGCAUCAAGUUCAGCUCAAGGUAAUUCUAGAUCUAGAACUGAAAAUCCUGCGUUUGCUUUGUGGAUUAGAACUGACCAGCUACUGUUAAGCUGGAUGUUCUCGUCUAUUCAAGAAAAUCUACUUACCUCAGUAAUUCAAUGUGUUUCUUCUCAAGAACUUUGGGAAACUCUUACACGCAUGUUCAUCUCUCAAACUCAGGCAAGAAUUGUGCCACUAAAAAUGCAGUUACAGACUUCUAAGAAAGGGUCUAUGUCAAUGAAUGCUUAUUUUUCUAAGAUGAAACGUCUUGCUGAUAGUUUAGCUAUUGCUGGAAAGCCUGUUGAACACAAUGAUAUGAUCUCAUACAUUCUAACUGGUUUAGACUCUCAGGAUUAUGAGUCACUAGUUACUAUUCUGCUUGCUAGAAGUGAUAAUCUGAGUCUAGAUGAAUUAUAUUCCUUGUUAUUGAGUCAUGAAAUGAGGAUUGAGCAAAAGAAAGGGAAGAUCAAUGCUGAUGUAAUUCAUAAUCUCUCUGCUAACAUUGCACAAAAGAAUCAAAAUCUUCCAAGAGGUGGAUCUGGUAAUUUUGGUUUUCCAAGAGGAAAUGGAGGGUUUAACAAUGCUAAUCAAGGAGGAAAUAAUGUCAAUCAUGAGUCAAAUAUAGUGUGCCAAAUUUGUUUCAUUCCAGGUCAUGGUGCUACAAAAUGCAGAAACAGAUUUAAUCCUGCAUUUGUACCACAGAGGAAUUUCGGCAGAGGUAACUUCAGACCUGGUUUUGGAAACUAUGGCAGAGGCUUCACUCCAAAUAAUUUUCCUCCAAGACCUUUUAAUGGUUUUGGAAGAAAUAAUAAUGGUCAAUAUGCUGGAUCACCAAGGGGUUAUGGUUUUCAAAGUGGUUUUCAAGGCCAUGUCACUUAUCCAAAUUCUAAUGUUGCUGGUGCUAACUCUCAAUCUUCCUCAUUUAACUCUCACAACUCUGGUUCUGAUCAUCCAGUAGCUUUUAACUGUUUCAAUGGAACAACUAAUGCUUCUCAGUUUCAGUCAUCAACAAGCUUUCAUACUGAUUCUUCUCCUGAAAUUGUGGAAGAUCCGUCCUGGUACAUAGACAGUGGAGCCUCUACUCACAUCACAGCUGACUCAGGUAAACUCUUUAACAUGCAGCCUUAUUGUGGUACAGAAUCACUUCUGGUUGGAAAUGGAAAUGCAUUAGAAAUUAAACAUAUUGGAUCUACAGUACUUGAUACACUGACAACUGAACCUUUACUCCUAAAAAAUGUCUUACAUGUUCCAAAUAUCACCAAGAAUUUAUUAAGUAUUUCACAACUUUUAGCUGACAACAAUGUUAUUGUUGAAUUUGUUGGAAUUCUUUGUUUCAUUAAGGCCAGGAAAACAGGAACUCUGUUACUUAAGGGAGUAGCUACUGGAGGCUUGUAUCAAAUAGAAGAUUUGUCAAGUGAAGAUUCUCAAGUUUCUUGGUGUCGUAGUCAAAUAAAUAAACCUGUAUCAAUGUUUGCUACUCUCUCUAGUUCAGUCAAUUUCAAUCCCUCUCCUGUCGAGUCAUGUAAUCCAGCAGCUUUAACAAUGUCUGUGUCAUCAGUUGGUGUUGAUUUACUUCACAAGAGACUUGGACAUCCAGCCUCACACACACUUCAAACUGUUAUUAAGACUUGUAAUUUGUUUGCUGGAAUUAAUAAAACUCCAAAAAUUGCCUUCUGUGAUGCAUGUCAGUUUGGCAAAAAUCAUCUUAAACAUUUUGAUUCUGUCAUUACCAAAACAACAGCACCUCUGUAAUUAUUAUAUGCAGAUCUUUGGGGUCCUUCACAUACAACUUCCACUCAAGGCUACAGCUAUUACUUGUCAAUAUUAGAUGAUUACAGUAGGUUCACUUGGAUUUUUCCUUUAAAAGCCAAGUCUGAUUCAUUACAAGUUUUCACUGAUUUCAAAACCUUCAUUGAGAAACAUCUUGAGAGAAGAAUUAAGACUGUCCAAACAGAUUGGGGAGGGGAAUUCAGAUCAUUUUCUUCAUUAUUAACAACCUCUGGUAUCCAUUUCAGACACCCUUGUCCUCACAUUCACCAUCAAAAUGGUAAAAUAGAGAGAAAACAUAGGCACAUUGUUGACAUUGGUCUCACCUUACUAGCUCAAUCAAAUUUGCCACUUACUUUUUGGUGGAAUGCUUUCCACACUGCUGUAUUUCUCAUAAACAGAUUACCAACUCCAGUGUUGAAUAAUGUCUCACCCUAUUUCAAACUCUUUCAUCAAACUCCAGAUUACUCAUUCCUAAGAGUUUUUGGCUGUGCUUGUUACCCUUAUCUUAGACCCUAUAAAAAACAUAAGCUAGAGUUUAGGACUGGUAGAUGCAUCUUCAUUGGAUACAGUCCUAACCAUAAGGGCUAUCAGUGUUUACACUCAUCAGGAAGGGUAUAUAUAUCCAAUCAUGUAGUGUUUAAUGAGAAUUCUUUCCCAUACCAGCCUGGUGUUGAUUUUUCCUCUGUGUCAAUGUCUUGUUCAAGUACAAACAAUCCAGAGUCAACUUCUUCUAUACAAGUUCUUUCAGCACCUCCCUUAACAACAGAGGUUCCUGCUCAAUCUCCACAUUCAUCACAAGAAGUUUCUGGUAAUUUCAACUCACCUUUAUCUCAGCAUUCUUUACCUUCUUAUUCUUCAAAUCAUAAUUCACCAGAUUCUUUACAUUCAAACAUUCCAGUUCCUUUUGUUCCUGCCCAUCAGCUACCCAAUUUUCAGCCACCUGGUCAUAGCAUGAUCACCAGGUCCAAAGCUGGAAUUUUUAAACCAAAAACAUACAUCACUGCACUUUUAGCCCAACCAUCUGAACCCAACUCAGUAAAUCAAGCACUGCAAGAUCCAAAAUGGUUUAAUGCUAUGCAGGAGGAGUUUAAAGCUCUUCAAGCCAAUCAAACUUGGGAUUUAGUUAUUCCUACAGCUGCUGUCAAAGUAGUAGGAAACAAAUGGAUUUUCAGAAUUAAAUACAACUCAGAUGGAUCAAUCUCAAGAUAUAAGGCAAGACUUGUUGCAAAGGGGUUUCAUCAAACAUAUGGGAUCGAUUACAGUGAAACUUUCAGCCCUGUUGUUAAGGCUUCAACAGUGAGAGUGAUAUUGAGUUUAGCUGUGAUGAACAACUGGAUAAUAAGGCAGGUUGAUGUUAAUAAUGCAUUUCUUAAUGGCAUUCUUGUUGAAGAUGUAUACAUGGCUCAACCAGAAGGCUUUGUGGAUCCAGAAAAGCCUCAUCAUGUGUGCAAAUUAAAGAAGGCUCUAUAUGGACUCAAGCAAGCUCCAAGGGCAUGGUUUGACAGGUUCAGAAGAGCUAUGACAUCUCAGUGGCAUUUUGAACAUUCAAAGUCAGAUUCCUCAUUAUUUUACAGAUGGGAUGCAGGUGAUAUUCUACUGGUCUUAGUAUAUGUAGAUGAUAUUAUCAUUACAGGCUCUAAUCAAAAUAGUGUGUUGAAAGUAAUCUCUGAUAUGCAAGCUACUUUUGCUCUUAAAGAUUUAGGAGAGCUUAGCUAUUUUCUUGGUAUAGAGGUUACUAAAAAUUCGACAGGCCUUCAAUUAUCUCAGAGCAAAUACAUAGUUGAUUUGCUGAACAGGCAUGAAAUGGUCACUUGCAGUCCAGUACCAACUCCCAUGGUCACUUCUCAUUCACUUGUUAAGAACUCAGGAGUUAUCAUUCCAAAUGCUUCUCAGUACAGGAGUGUUGUGGGGGCUCUGCAGUAUGUGACUUUGACCAGGCCAGAAUUAGCUUUUUCAGUUAAUAAGUUGAGUCAAUUUCUUUCAGCUCCAACAGAAGAACAUUGGCAAGCAUGUAAGAGGAUACUCAGAUAUUUGAAGGGAACAAUUCACUAUGGCUUACAACUUCAUUCAACUGGAAGUCAGCAUAUGCAAAUAAAUUGUUUCAGUGACUCUGAUUGGGCUUGUGACAGAGAUGAUCGAAAAUCAGUAGCAGGGUAUGCUGUGUUUCUUGGACCUAACCUUGUUUCAUGGUCUUCAAAGAAGCAACAUGUAGUCUCCAGGUCAAGCACAGAGUCAGAAUACAGAGCCUUAGCUCUGGCAACAACUGAAGUUAUGUGGGUAAAAGGGUUACUUACUGAGCUGAAGAUUAAAAUUGAUCACACACCCAUUAUGUGGUGUGACAAUCAGGGAGCAAUAUCUUUGGCUAUGAAUCCAGUGUAUCAUGCCAAAACAAAACACAUUGAGCUAGAUAUACACUUCAUUCGAGAAAAGGUCCAAGCUAAUCAAAUUGAAGUUAACUAUGUGCCUAGUGAAGAUCAAGCUGCAGACAUAUUCACAAAAGCUUUGACCUAUGGACAAUUCAGUUAUCUUAGAAGCAAGCUGAACAUAUUUCCUACACAGUUCAGCUUGAGGGGGGAUGUUAGCAUAUGUGAGUAACAGAGCAGGGGAUUCCAGCUCAAGAGCCGACGUGUCAAUAUUUGUUAUACAUGUUGCUUAACGUGUAACAAGCUGAUUUCAGUAGUUGAUAACAGAUUCUAGUAGCUUCAUUAAUUAGUUAGAAAGAUUCGUUUAAGCUCAUAUAUAAACCAACACUUGUAAUCUUUUUCAUCAACUUGAUUGAAUACAAAUUCAUUGAUAUUAGUAUAUUCUCUGUUAUUUUUCUUUCUCUUUCUAUCGUUUUCUUAUCUACCAAACACAUCAACAACAUUUCUAACAAACCAUGAGAAUACCGAGGUUACCAAGAGCGCCUUACUCUGCAUCCAAAGGCUUUUCCUAGGCGCAAAGUACGCGAGCUUUUUGCAGGCCUGAAAUCUCUUUCCAUGGGGUCCAGUAUUGUUUACAAAGGAAAUGCUUGUAAUGAUUUGAUUCCAGUUUGGCUGUGGUUAGGUUGUUUAUUUAUUUAUCAAUCAUUGGAGGAAUUUAUGAAUCAGGGGAACUCGUCUGUUGAAUUUUUUUAAGUACUGUGAAGAAUUAGUUGAUUUUUUACCAUAUUUUAGAAAUUUAUUUUGUUUUUGAGAUGAGGAAUAAAUUGAUACCAUCUGUACUGACCUUUGAUAUGAAAACUACUCGGGCGCAUGAUAUAUAUCUGUUUUUGUUCAUUUCUGUAUCUUGCUGCUGACUGAAGCUGGAUUUUCAGGCUCGUUAUUAUCAUUUAUUCUUUUGAAGUUGCAAAAUGAAUUCUCAAUAUUUUCAGGGGAAAUGCUUAUAAUUAGCGCGGAAUUAAACAUUGAUUGUGUACUGUAGACUUCCAAAAGGCAAUUUAUUUCCAUUGAUUUGAGUAAACUAAAUCUCCGUGAUGGUAACACUUAUUUAAUCACUUAUUAAAGAAUUCUUUGAAAAUUUGAUGAUUGUUGUUGAAAACAUUUACUAAUUGUAAAUGCGUUAAAAAUUAUUUGAUUCAUUUAGUAUCACUAAUAGUGAUUUAAUUUUUCAUCUUGAUUGAACGAUGAAUUUUGUAUUAAUCCGGAAAAGUGCAACUGUUACUCCAACCACGCGUCGCUUAAAGGUUCGUGUAAUUUGAGACGACUUGUCGUCUAUGUUUUAUUCCGGACCGGUUCACGCAAACUUUAAAGCUUUCGAGUACUCGCGGAGCGGCGAUCGCAAAUCCCUCAAAAGAACACACUCAAGGAAUGGAGACUGAGAAAGUACAGGAGAAGGAGAAGGAGAAGGAGAAGGAGAAAGUGUGCAAGAGGUGUAAGCAAACGUACACAGCUUCAUCAAACAGCUCUUCUUCUAGCCGCUUUCACCCUUCCUUCUUCGUUUGCCGUCGUCACGACGACCAGAAAAGGUACCCACCCCACUCCCUCUUUUGAUCAUCAUUUCGCAUACACUUUUCUUCAAUUUAUUUUUUUAAAAAUUUUUUUCUCAUGUACCCUUGUGAUUCUUUUGCAUUCUUUAUUGGAUGUUAUUAAUUAUUAUUAAAAAAAUUCUAAAAAAUAAAUAAAAUUCACGGCAGCUAGGAGUUGAAUGAAACUCUUGAGUCCAGUCCAGUUUGGUAGGAUUCUUUGAUUUACAAAGCAUCGAGUAAUCAGAUUUGCUGAGCAUUCAUUUUGCUUUGUUAUGUUUCCAUGUAUCAAUUUUCAGUUCAUACCAAAUCUACUUUUUGAGGUUCGUUAUUCAUUUCCUUUAAUUCUUCGUCAUUGGGUUUCUACUGCAUUGUAAUGCUGUACACAAGGUUAGACUCCUUGCAAGGCACUUCUAUUCACUUACUACUUUCAUGUGGGGGGCGGGGGGCGGGGGGAAGUACAUUUAUGGACUCUUUUUGAUAUUGUGGGAUUUGUGUCUGGGUGUGAGUGCACACAUUUUGAUCGGUAGCUAACUAAUGGAUGUCAUUGCUUGCAGUUUAAAAUGUAGAAAAAUAAUUUGUGUCUGAGUGUGAGUGCACAAAUUUUGAUCUGUAACUAAUUAAUGGAUAUCAUUGUUUAAAAUGUGAAAAAUUUAGUUUAUUCUAUGCUAGUUUUUCAUAACAUGAGUUGGACUGAGCUCAGUCAGUUGAUGCUCCAUGUUUUUGAUUCAUUGAAGGUACUAUGAAUUGGGACCUGAUGAUCCGCCAUAUGCUGCCAAGUUUUACGACUGCUGCGGGGCCGAGGAUGCUGAUGCCUCUGGUUGUACCACUGGCUUCCAUGUCUCUUAUGAUGAUGAUUAACAUAAUUUUUACCUCCUAAUCACCUGUAACUAUAGAUUAAAUUUGUAGAUAUCUCCGUGUCUCCUCCUGUGACCCACAUCAUUUCCACUGUUCUACCACUGUAUAAUUCAGGCCUUUCAUCAGUUUAUCUCUUCAUUUCUCAACAUUUUUCUUUUUUUUUUUUCCUGGGGUUGAUCUGGCAUGAAUUCGACAUGUGCUGCUAUGGCCAACUUUCGAGGGAUGAUGGUAAAUCUAAACCCUUUUCCAUAAACUUCUGCAAUUUGAAGAGCUUAUACUGGAAGCCAUUGCCUUCCCACAUCUUAAGUAAAGAGUAAUGCUACUUUGACAGAAAUAGGUUUACAAAAUUUUGACAUACUUAUGAAAUACUAAAUUACCUUUUAGUUUAUUUACAGAUAGCGAAUUGGGCUUUUUACAUAUUUUUGUAAGAAUCAACCUAAACUUAUAUUCAGGAAAGAAAUAACUGCAGAGGAGAAAAAAUUAAUGAGGCGAUAGAAAAUUAUGCCAAAAUUAAUAGUAAGGCAUUUGAGAUUGCAGUAGAACUUCUCAAUAAUCAUAUUAUUAGGAUCAAUUGAUUUUGUUACUAUAAGGAGGUUAAAACUUUGUAGAGGUUUAGUUCAAAAUUACUAUCUUGACUUCAUUAUUCUUAGUGUAAGUAAGAUAAUUAAUAAAUAAUUAAUGAAGUGUGUCAAUUCUAUGAAGCUUCAAACAUGCUUGAAUACUUAAAAAUAUUUUGUCUUCAACAAGAAGGUGUGUAUAUUAUUGAAUUAUUUUUGCAAUAUACAAAUAAUUAUUAUUAUGUGGAGGCAAUUUCAAAGAUGUGAUAACAAUUUUAAAGAAUAAAUCAUUGUCUCAAACAAUUUUAAAAAAUAUUUUUUUCUAUACUAAAUCUUUUAAAGUAACAAAUAUGUUUUGCAAUACACAUAUAAUUAUUAUUAUGUGGAGAUAAGUUACUAAAGUCAGAAUCUAAAACACUUAUUACAAUUAGAGUUAAUUCUUAUUUAUAAUUUACUUAAAUUAAAGUUAAAAUUUUUUUAUCACUAUAAAAGAGUUAUUUCUAUAUAGAUAAUCACUAUAAAUACAGAGUAUCACUAUAAAAAAGUUUUACGAUCAAUCAUCCGUCAUAAUAAGCACAAGAAUGACAAGUUUUGAUUCUCAAAUAAAUUCUUAUAAAACACAACCAUGGAUUAAGAUUGUCGGGAAAUGGGAAUGCAAUACAAAGUAAUUAAUGACACAGUCUCAGUGUUUCACUUACACGUGAAGCAAACGAAACAAGAAGAAUCUUAAGAAAAAAACACUCACCAGAACGCAAGGUUCAAUCCCGGUUUACUACGUCAACCUCCAUUCCUCAAAGAGAUUGGAAACACGUCAACCUUCAUCUCCACCAGUCUCCAUCUCCACGAAUAAGAAUUCUGCGCCCAUUUGCACUAUUUGAAUCGAGUGGAAGCUUUUUAAGCGAAUGGCAACCCCAAACUUCCAAUUCUUUGAGACGUGGGAGAGGCAAGGGCUUCCAGAAAAUGCUCUUCAAAUUGCGCAGUCGCUCUAACCGAAGACGCUGGAGUUUUGCAAAAGGGCUGCUUAUUAUUCCCGUCAUCUCAGGAAUGUCAUCAAACUCUCCAGCACUGAUUAUUUCUUCCAUGUCAUCGCAAAGCCUUACGGAAAUAGACUUGAGGUUUGGAGCAAAAACGAGGAAUGUCAAGUGUUUCAAAUUUCUGCAACUGUCUACGGUAACUUCCUCUAGGCUGCGGAAAACAUAAGGUUGGCGAGAUUUUUGUACCAUAACUUUGCAGUCAAUCUUCAGUCCCCCAGACCAAUCACAAGAACGAAAGUAUAAUGUAUUGAGCUGCUCUAGAUCGGCUAAAUCUGCAACAUCAAUCGACUCCUCCCUAUCGAACUCAUCGAGCAUAAGAGCUUUGGUAGAACUUCGUAACUUCUGUGAGCUCAAAAAUGUUUGGU